Pangasianodon gigas (Mekong giant catfish) is the source of this 72-nucleotide non-coding RNA. Lineage: Eukaryota; Metazoa; Chordata; Actinopteri; Siluriformes; Pangasiidae. The record is from the annotation of a GenBank genome assembly.
GCAGUGGCAGCUAAGUGGUUAAAAUAUUGGACUACUGAUCAAAUAGUCAUGAGUUCAAACCCCAACACUGCC